This 73-nucleotide transfer RNA is filed under the name Camelus bactrianus (Bactrian camel). It matches the Rfam family "tRNA". Rfam says of the family: Transfer RNA (tRNA) molecules are approximately 80 nucleotides in length. RNAcentral also lists the same sequence under 2 other names. Lineage: Eukaryota; Metazoa; Chordata; Mammalia; Artiodactyla; Camelidae. The record is from Rfam by way of RNAcentral.
GAGGGUAUAGCUCAGCGGUAGAGCACAUGCUUAGCAUGCACAGGGUCCUGGGUUCUAACCCGCAGUACCUCCA